This is a long non-coding RNA of Equus caballus (horse), 2123 nucleotides long. The record is from Ensembl. NCBI's taxonomy places the organism in Eukaryota, Metazoa, Chordata, Mammalia, Perissodactyla, Equidae.
GAGAAUGGUUCCACAUACGUAUUAGAGCUAUCAAGGUCCUUUUGAGUUUUUCUGAAUCAUAGAAUUUUAAAAGUGUAAUUUGUGAAUUAAUGAAUUAAUCAAAAUAAUAUAGAAACGAAUGAAGAGAAAGUCAUCUUUUCUGGAUCGAUGAUGACAACUGCCAGCGCUUGAGUCAUGAUGAUGAAUGAUAUGUGUCUGGAACUCUGAGGUCCAAUAUAAAAGAGAUGAGGCCUUUCUCUUCAUGCGUUUUCAUUCUUUAUUAUAAUUGGAUCAACGAAAUAUCAAUGAGGAAAUAUAUAUAUUAAAAACAGCUGAAUUGUAGAAGUGUUGUCCAAUUUUAAAAAUAUUUGGGGAGGCCAGAAAUACUAUCAAUAUAAUUUGAAAACACUGAAGUCCAAAGAGAAAUAAAUGAAGGGACACACUGAAGCUGAUUGUAAUACUCUUCCAAGGGCGUGAACUCUCUCAAUGCGUCUCUGUGCUAGGAGCAUGUGGACCAACAUGCUCGAGCUGAUUUCAUCUUCUAUCGUGAUCAAGAUUGUCAUGUUCCCUUUGUGUUAGGAAAGAUACUAAGAAUGGACACACUCAGGCUGAGUAAGCAGUAUUCCAUGGUGUCGAGUUCAUGAUUGCACCUUUGCGUUAGGAGCACAGAGACCAAUAGUGGACGCCCUGGACCUGAUUUAAGGAUUCUUUCCGGAUCACAAGCCCUAGGGCUGCAUCCCAGUUCUAGGAGCCUAGAGAGCAAGAAUGGAUGACUUGAGCUGAUUCUAACGUUCUUCCAAGAUCGCCAGCUCUCUGAAUGCAUCUCUGUUGUAGGAGCAUGGAGACCACUGUGAGUAAUGGUCAGAGUUCUUGUAUGAGUUUGAAUGAUUUGUUGAAAGCUAUUCACUGUAUUAUUCAAAAGUAUUAAAUGUGAUCAGAAAAGGUGAAACAUGCUUGAUACGAGGCAUUGUGUCGACUGAUCCAUAAAUGUAACACUGAGGCCAGCUAAUGCAAGAGAUUUAGUCUCUAUGGGAUUUGUAGAUAUAUUAGGAAUGUUGAAGGAUUGUUUUCUUAUUUUUCAAAUCUAUAUGUAUUUCUUUAUUAAUUAAUCAAUAAAUGUUUAUGAGAGUGAAAAUAAAGAGUGCCAGUCAUGGAUCAAUGAUGAUGACUGGUGAUGUAUUAGUCACAUGCAAUGAGUACUACGUGUCUGGAACUCUGAGGCCCAACCCCAAAGUUAUCUAGUCCAUUCCUCAUGUGUCAGGAAUAUACAUAGAUUUCUUUUCUUUGUUUUUGUGUUCGUGAAUUUUAAUAAUAUUUAUAAAGUAUCUAUGAUGGAAUAAAUAAGAAAUGUACAAAGGGAUGAAGAUGAUGAAGCAUAUUCUUUGGUUAAUAUGUAGUCAGGUAAAAGAAAAUUAAUAUACAUUAGAAUGGGUCAUAAAUGGACCAAGUGUGUUACCUCUUUCAUGGAGGUUGAUAAAGACAAUGAAAUGUAAUGGUCAGUUAUUGCCUGAGUCAGUUACAGGUUUGAGUUUAUUUUAUUAAGGUAAAAAUAAAUAAAUAUGACCAUAAGUUAAUAAAUGCCUAAAUGAGUGUACAAAUUAAUGGUGGAAACUGAAUCAGUGGAGAGAAAGCCUUAAUGUUUGUAUUGACUUCUCUGCUUGGUACUCUUCAGAACAGAUAAUCAGAUUGAUUUCAUCUACUGCUGUGGUCAAGAUUGUUACGUUGGCAUCAUGUCAGUGAGUAAUAGUCAAAGUGAGUAAUAGUCAAAGGUCUUGUCGUGCUUUGGGUCAUUUGGUUAAAGAUAUCCGUGGUAUUAUUAAAAAGUAUUAAAUAUAAUGAAAAAGUUAACUAUUGCCCAAUGAUAAAUAUGAUAUGAAACAUUAUGUUAAUUGAUAAUAUAUAGCUUUGAGAUUGAUUAACGAAAGACAUGCAGCUGAUGUUGGCAAUGAUUCUAUAGAUAGAACUUAGGGAUAUUCAAGUAUCUUGUUUUUCACUUUUUGUGAGUCAUGUAUUUAUUUUUUCAUUGUCAUUGAAUUAGUGAAUUAAUCAAUACAAAUGUAAAUGAAUGAAGAAUAAAUGGGCUUCUAAUGGACCAGUGAUGACAACUGGUUGUCUAGGAUGAUGAAUGAUUUGUGUCUGGAGCU